CCCUACGGGGCGCAGCAGUAGGGAAUCUUCCACAAUGGACGAAAGUCUGAUGGAGCAACGCCGCGUGAGUGAAGAAGGGUUUCGGCUCGUAAAACCCUGUUGUUAGAGAAGAAAGUGCGUGAGAGUAACUGUUCACGUUUCGACGGUAUCUAACCAGAAAGCCACGGCUAACUACGUGCCAGCAGCCGCAGUAAUACGUAGGUGGCAAGCGUUAUCCGGAUUUAUUGGGCGUAAAGGGUGCGUAGACGGGUAUACAAGUUGGUUGUGAAAUCCCUCGGCUUAACUGAGGAACUGCAACCAAAACU
RNAcentral lists this ribosomal RNA (305 nucleotides) under uncultured bacterium. Its description in RNAcentral is "bacterial SSU rRNA". It matches the Rfam family "Bacterial small subunit ribosomal RNA", at positions 337 to 634 of the family's 1533-position model. The record is from RNAcentral.